Molecule: long non-coding RNA, 1076 nt
Filed under: Mytilus galloprovincialis (Mediterranean mussel)
Lineage: Eukaryota; Metazoa; Mollusca; Bivalvia; Mytilida; Mytilidae
Source: RNAcentral
CUGACCAAGUGUUGUUACUUUGUAGCCGAUCCAUCAUCCAAGAUGGCCGCCAGCGGGGGACUUAGUUUAACAUUGGACCCAAUGGGAAAUGCAUACAAAUGACUUCUUUUAGAGAACCACUGAAUGGAAUAAAACCAAACAUGGCAUGAAUGUUCCUUAUAAGGUGCUGAACAAGUGUUGUUACUUUGUAGCCGAUCCAUCAUCCAAGAUGGCCGCCAGCGGGGGACUAAGUUUAACUUAGGACCCUAUGGGAAAUGCAUACAAAUGACUUCUUUUAGAGAACCACAGAAUGGAAUGAAACCAAACAUGGCAUGAAUGUUCCUUAUAAGGUGCUGACCAAGUGUUGUUACUUUGUAGCCGAUCCAUCAUCCAAGAUGACCGCCAGCGGGGUACUAAGUUUAACAUAGGACCCUAUGGGAAAUGCAUACAAAUGACUUCUUUUAGAGAACUACUGAAUGGAAUAAAACCAAACAUGGCAUGAAUGUUCCCUAUGAGAUGCUGACCAAGUGUUGUUACUUUGUAGCCGAUCCAUCAUCCAAGAUGGCCGCCAGCAGGGGACUUAGUUUAACAUAGGACCCUAUGGGAAAUGCAUAUAAAUGACUUCUUUUAGAGAACCACUGAAUGGAAUGAAACCAAACAUGGCAUGAAUGUUCCUUAUAAGGUGUUGACCAAGUGUUGUUACUUUGUAGCGGAUCCAUCAUACAAGAUGGCCGCCAGCGGGGGACUUAGUUUAACAUUGGACACAAUGGGAAAUGCAUACAAAUGACUUCUUUUAGAGAACCACUGAAUGGAAUGAAACCAAACAUGGCAUGAAUGUUCCUUAUAAGGUGCUGACCAAGUGUUGUUACUUUGUAGCCGAUCCAUCAUCCAAAAUGGCCGCCAGCGGGGGACUAAGUUUAACAUAGGACCCUAUGGGAAAUGCAUACAAAUGACUUCUUUUAGAGAACUACUGAAUGGAAUAAAACCAAACAUGGCAUGAAUGUUCCCUAUGAGGUGCUGACCAAGUGUUGUUACUUUGUAGCAGAUCCAUCAUCCAAGAUGGCCGCCAGCGGGGGACUUAGUUUAACAUAGGACCC